AGCAUGUGGAUUAAUUCGAUGCAACGCGAAGAACCUUACCUGGGCCUGACAUACACCGGACCGGGCCAGAGAUGGCCUUUCCCUUGUGGCUGGUGUACAGGUGGUGCAUGGUUGUCGUCAGCUCGUGUCGUGAGAUGUUGGGUUAAGUCCCGCAACGAGCGCAACCCUUGUCUUAUGUUGCCAGCACGUAGUGGUGGGGACUCAUGAGAGACUGCCGGGGUCAACUCGGAGGAAGUGGGGAUGACGUCAAAUCAUCAUGCCCCUUACGUCCAGGGCUUCACACAUGCUACAAUGGUCGGUACAACGCGUUGCGACACUGUGAGGUGGAGCUAAUCGCUGAAAGCCGGCCUCAGUUCGGAUUGAAGUCUGCAACUCGACUUCAUGAAGGCGGAAUCGCUAGUAACCGCGAAUCAGCAGGUCGCGGUGAAUACGUUCCCGGGCCUU
This 444-nucleotide ribosomal RNA is filed under the name uncultured Corynebacterium sp. Its description in RNAcentral is "bacterial SSU rRNA". It matches the Rfam family "Bacterial small subunit ribosomal RNA", at positions 936 to 1382 of the family's 1533-position model. The record is from RNAcentral. Lineage: Bacteria; Bacillati; Actinomycetota; Actinomycetes; Mycobacteriales; Corynebacteriaceae.